UUUGUUUCAGACAAUGUAGUACCAUUUGCUUCAGGCAAUGGUACAGAACCAGUUGGACGUAAUCCAUGAUUUUUCAUCAACAAUUCAUUAUUUUGUUCAGCAACUAAUAGGUAAGAUAUAAGUUCUAAGUACUUUUUGAAGCCAUAUUCACGAUAUUGCCAUUGCAGGAGCACAUUCGAGGCAUGAAAGGUGAAGAAAGUUUUUUUCAGCAUAUCUUUAUCGGUGAUUUUUUCUCCACACAAAGUCAACUUUGAACAUAUUCUGAACGAUUCAGAAUUGUACCCACUAACCAUUUUAAAGUCUUGCAAACGAAGGUGCAUUCACUCAUAACGGGCUUUGAGGAGGACUAUAGUCCUCUGAUGAUCAAAUCUUUCAGUUAACUUUUUCCAAAGAACUCGUGAAUCUUUCUCAGUAAGAUAUUCAAUUUUUAAUCCAUCGUGAAGAUGGUGACGGAGGAAAAUAAGUGCUUUUGCACGAUCCUGCAGGGAUUUAUUAUUUCCUUCUUUUAUUGUCUCUCUCAGACCCUUUGAGACGAGAUGGAUAUCAGUAUCCAGUAUCCAUGACAGAUAAUUUUUAUCAAAUAUGUCAAGUGCAGCAAACUCAAGUUUAGUAAUGUUUGCCAUUUGUUUAACUACACAAUAAAAAAUUACAAUUAGUUUCGAAAAAUAUGAUUAAUCAUCACAUGUUAAUCAAAU
RNAcentral lists this long non-coding RNA (695 nucleotides) under Olea europaea (common olive). RNAcentral's name for it is "long non-coding RNA (OEUR_LNC002013)". Lineage: Eukaryota; Viridiplantae; Streptophyta; Magnoliopsida; Lamiales; Oleaceae. The record is from RNAcentral.